UGGGGAAUAUUGCACAAUGGGCGCAAGCCUGAUGCAGCAACGCCGCGUGAACGAUGAAGGUCUUCGGAUCGUAAAGUUCUGUUGCAGGGGAAGAUAAUGACGGUACCCUGUGAGGAAGCCCCGGCUAACUACGUGCCAGCAGCCGCGGUAAUACGUAGGGGGCUAGCGUUAUCCGGAUUUACUGGGCGUAAAGGGUGCGUAGGUGGUCUUUCAAGUCGGUGGUUAAAGGCUACGGCUCAACCGUAGUUAGCCUCCGAAACUGGAAGACUUGAGUGCAGGAGAGUAAAGUGGAAUUCCCAGUGUAGCGGUGAAAUGCGUAGCUAUUGGGAGGAACACCAGUAGCGAAGGCGGCUUUCUGGACUGCAACUGACACUGAGGCACGAACGCGUGGGUAGCAAACAGG
This 403-nucleotide ribosomal RNA is filed under the name Verrucomicrobiota bacterium. RNAcentral's name for it is "Verrucomicrobia bacterium partial 16S ribosomal RNA". It matches the Rfam family "Bacterial small subunit ribosomal RNA", at positions 355 to 776 of the family's 1533-position model. Lineage: Bacteria; Pseudomonadati; Verrucomicrobiota. The record is from RNAcentral.